Molecule: ribosomal RNA, 521 nt
Filed under: uncultured bacterium
Lineage: Bacteria
Description: bacterial SSU rRNA
Rfam family: Bacterial small subunit ribosomal RNA
Source: RNAcentral
ACGACGCUGGCGGCGUGCCUAAUACAUGCAAGUCGAACGGCUUUUCUAUGGAAGCUUGCUUCCACUGAGAAGAUAGUGGCGAACGGGUGAGUAACGAACGUGGGUAACCUGCCCAUAAGAGGGGGGAGUAACAAUCCGGAAACGGGUGCUAAUACCGCAUAGUUUUCUUGAUCGCAUGAUUGAGAAAGGAAAGACGGCCUUUGUGCUGUCGCUUAUGGAUGGACCCGCGGCGUAUUAGUUAGUUGGUGAGGUAACGGCUCACCAAGACGAUGAUACGUAGCCGACCUGAGAGGGUGAUCGGCCACAUUGGGACUGAGACACGGCCCAAACUCCUACGGGAGGCAGCAGUAGGGAAUCUUCCGCAAUGGACGAAAGUCUGACGGAGCAACGCCGCGUGAGUGAAGAAAAGGUUUUCGGAUCGUAAAACUCUGUUGUCAGAGAAGAACAAGUUGGAGAGUAACUGCUCCAGCCUUGACGGUAUCUGACCAGAAAGCCACGGCUAACUACGUGCCAGCCGCUGC